Molecule: non-coding RNA, 67 nt
Organism: Ramazzottius varieornatus
Lineage: Eukaryota; Metazoa; Tardigrada; Eutardigrada; Parachela; Ramazzottiidae
Source: the annotation of a GenBank genome assembly
UAUUAUAUAAUAUAUUGGUAUAUCAAAUUUUGAUUUUGAAAGAAAAAUUUAAAUAUUUUUAUAAUAA